This 946-nucleotide ribosomal RNA is filed under the name uncultured bacterium. Its description in RNAcentral is "bacterial SSU rRNA". It matches the Rfam family "Bacterial small subunit ribosomal RNA", at positions 8 to 916 of the family's 1533-position model. The record is from RNAcentral.
AGAGUUUGAUCAUGGCUCAGAACGAACGCUGGCGGCGUGGAUAAGGCAUGCAAGUCGAACGACGGCCUGAAAUAGAUCUUCGGAGAAGUGGAUGGGAUACGGAGUGGCGAAAGGGUGAGUAACACGUGAGCAAUCUGCCCUUUUGUAGGGGAUAACGCAGGGAAACCUGCACUAAUACCGUAUGUGGCCCGGGUACACCUGUACCUGGCGCUAAAGGUGGGGAUCUUCGGACCUGCCACAAAAGGAUGAGCCCGCGCACUAUUAGCUAGUUGGUGUGGUAACGGCGCACCAAGGCGAUGAUGGUUAGCUGGUCUGAGAGGAUGGUCAGCCACACUGGGACUGAGACACUGCCCAGACUCCUACGGGAGGCUGCAGUCGAGAAUCAUUCGCAAUGCGCGAAAGCGUGACGAUGCGACGCCGCGUGGAGGAUGAAGGCCUUCGGGUUGUAAACUCCUGUCACCAGGUAAUAAAGCACUGUUGAUUAAGAGUUGAUGGUGUUGAGCAAACCUGGGGAGGAAGCCACGGCUAACUCCGUGCCAGCAGCCGCGGUAAUACGGGGGUGGCGAGCGCUGUUCGGAUUUACUGGGCGUAAAGGGUCCGUAGGGGGCUGUGUAAGUCGGGUGUGAAAUCUUCAGGCUUAACCUGGAAUGUGCACUCGAGACUGUGCGGCUAGAGUAUAGGAGAGGAGAGUGGAAUUCCCGGUGUAGCGGUGAAAUGCGUAGAUAUCGGGAGGAACACCAGCGGCGAAGGCGGCUUUCUGGCCUAUGACUGACCCUGAUGGACGAAAGCUAGGGGAGCAAACAGGAUUAGAUACCCUGGUAGUCCUAGCCGUAAACGUUGUGCACUUGGUGUGGGGGGACUCAACCCCCUCUGUGCCGAAGCUAACGCGAUAAGUGCACCGCCUGGGGAGUACGGUCGCAAGAUUAAAACUCAAAUGAAUUGACGG